Molecule: long non-coding RNA, 1246 nt
Organism: Ictalurus punctatus (channel catfish)
Lineage: Eukaryota; Metazoa; Chordata; Actinopteri; Siluriformes; Ictaluridae
Source: Ensembl
CCAACGUUCACCUAAAACAGUGGACUUGUUCUCGAACAACAAUUCACUACAUUGUUCUUGUUACUUUAUUCGUGGCUUCAGCAUACAGGUCAACUCUCCCAAUGGCCAUUCUGGGCUUGCUUGUCAGCUACUGUUGGUGGUGGUGGUGGUGGUAGUAGUAGUAGUAGGAGGAGGAGGAGGAGGAGGAGGAGGAGGGUUAAUUAUGUCCUGAGAAUAGUUGGUUUUACCAGUUGUGAUGCUAUAAGAGGAGGUGGCUCUGACUCACACACUCCUCUUCAGAUGGGUUUGGAGUUUACUCUGUGACCUGAUCUAAAGGAGAAAGCACAGAGGGUACAGAGACAAGUAGUUAACAUGAAGCAAAUGUUAUCAGUGUAUUUUUUAUUUUUUUUACUCCAAGAAAGCACUCAUUUGUAAGCAAGAAAACCGAGAAAGUCAGUGAGCAGUUGUAGGUUGAGGAGCAGGGAAUGUUCAGUUCAGGGAUGGAAGCAAGCACUUUUACUCCUCAAGUCUGAUCUGGUCAGUGAUGAAUAUUGGCACAUCCUUACUUCUAUCAUGCUUAAGAGAAACUGACUGGUAGUUUGGAAUAGUGAUCAUUGAUUUCUCUCUCCUCUUGUAGGUGAAGUUGCAGCAUUCACCUGUCCAGUACUCUAUGAAAAACACAAGACGCAGAUUGAUCAUUACUAUGGACUGGUGAACAGCCACCUCCAAGACGUAGUGAAAAAGAUUCAGGCAAAGAUUCAUGGAGUGAAGAAUAAAGCUGAAUAAAGAGCAGCAGUGUUUGAAUGCAAGUGAAUAAACAGCAUGGAGUGUGUGUUUACGCAAAGCUGUUGUGUUACUGCAGUGUGUGUUAAAUCAAUUGUGUUAAGGAAAAAAUCCACUUAAAAAUAAAUGGAUUUUGUAUUUUCAUUUUCCCCUGCUUUAUUAGUUCUCGUUGCUGCAGUGUUUAUUUCAUUGAUUUGUGUCUGUGUAAAUGAAAAUGAGAUUAUAAAAGAGUGUAUUUUUCUGCAUCUUUAUCGUUAAUGUGAAUAGCAUUAGUUAUAGUGUAUAUUGAAUCUUAUGACUGUGAAGCUCAAUGUACAUCAUUUUUCAUAUAGCUUUAUUUUUCUUUACACUGCUGCCUGUCUGUGAAAAUAAAAUAAACGUGAAUAAAUCAUAGAUGACUUCAGUGAUGUUCCUAACACAUUGUAGUUUCUCAUCUGUUUUAAAUCUUUCUGUGUGUGUGAGAGAGAGGGAGUGUGAGAGUGAG